This 138-nucleotide small nucleolar RNA is filed under the name Ornithorhynchus anatinus (platypus). The record is from RNAcentral. Lineage: Eukaryota; Metazoa; Chordata; Mammalia; Monotremata; Ornithorhynchidae.
CCCCUCUCAAGGUCGCAUCUGGAGAGUUUCCAGUACUCUACCAGUCUCGGCUAUGGGAGGCAGAGUCAAGCAGAGGUCUACCCAUUCCAUUCCUAGGUUGGGAAGUGGCUAGUGAGUGGAAGGCAUUCUGCUACAAGU